Molecule: ribosomal RNA, 497 nt
Filed under: uncultured bacterium
Lineage: Bacteria
Description: bacterial SSU rRNA
Rfam family: Bacterial small subunit ribosomal RNA
Source: RNAcentral
AGCAGCUAAGAAUCUUCCGCAAUGGGCGAAAGCCUGACGGAGCGACGCCGCGUGAACGAAGAAGGCCGUGAGGUUGUAAAGUUCUUUUCGGGAGGGGGAACGACCGUGGCAGGGAAUGGCCGCGGGAUGACGUGAAUCCCGGAAUAAGCCCCGGCUAACUACGUGCCAGCAGCCGCGGUAACACGUAGGGGGCGAGCGUUGUUCGGAAUCAUUGGGCGUAAAGGGCGUGCAGGCGGUCCUGCAAGUCCGGCGUGAAAGACCCCGGCCCAACCGGGGGGGCGCGCUGGAAACUGCAGGGCUUGAGUACAGGAGGGGAUGCCGGAAUUCCAGGUGUAGGGGUGAAAUCUGUAGAUAUCUGGAGGAACACCAAUGGCGAAGGCAGGCAUCUGGCCAUGUACUGACGCUGAGACGCGAAGGUGCGGGGAGCAAACAGGUUUAGAUACCCUGGUAGUCCGCACAGUAAACGAUGUGCACCAGGUGGCGGGGGGUCGACCCCC